UGGGGAAUAUUGCACAAUGGGCGAAAGCCUGAUGCAGCGACGCCGCGUGAGGGAUGGAGGCCUUCGGGUUGUAAACCUCUUUCAGUAAGGGUGAAGGCUCUCUUUUGUGGAGGGUUGACAGUACUUGCAGAAGAAGCCCCGGCUAAAUACGUGCCAGCAGCCGCGGUAAUACGUAUGGGGCGAGCGUUGUCCGGAAUUAUUGGGCGUAAAGGGUACGUAGGCGGUCUAUUAAGUCAGGUGUGAAAGCGUGAGGCUUAACCUCAUUAAGCACUUGAAACUGAUAGACUUGAGUGAAGGAGAGGAAAGUGGAAUUCCUAGUGUAGCGGUGAAAUGCGUAGAUAUUAGGAGGAAUACCGGUGGCGAAGGCGACUUUCUGGACUUUUACUGACGCUCAGGUACGAAAGCGUGGGGAGCAAACAGG
This 421-nucleotide ribosomal RNA is filed under the name Verrucomicrobiota bacterium. RNAcentral describes it as "Verrucomicrobia bacterium partial 16S ribosomal RNA". It matches the Rfam family "Bacterial small subunit ribosomal RNA", at positions 355 to 776 of the family's 1533-position model. Lineage: Bacteria; Pseudomonadati; Verrucomicrobiota. The record is from RNAcentral.